This 1482-nucleotide long non-coding RNA is filed under the name Sparus aurata (gilthead seabream). Its description in RNAcentral is "lncRNA (ENSSAUG00010010770.1)". Lineage: Eukaryota; Metazoa; Chordata; Actinopteri; Spariformes; Sparidae. The record is from RNAcentral.
AUGGCAUGCACUCUAAGUGAGACAGCUGACUCUAAACUUUCCCAGUCCAUUCCAAACAUUGAAAAACGAUCUGCUGCAGAUUUUGUCAUUAUUGGUUGUGGCGGUCACCCUGUCACACCUUCUGCCAUAUAUGACCUGACUGUAUCUGUUUAUGGCUAUAAAGUGAUCAUCCCUGUUUUAGUUGUGCCAGGCCAAGCUGAUGAUAUGAUUCUGGGCAACAAUGCUAUCAAGUGGCUGAUCUCACAGGUGAAAGACACGGCUAAAGUCCAAACCGUCACAUCUUCAGCAAGUAAUGCUCAGGACAAUCUGCCUCAAUUGUUGUCUGUGCUGUCUUCCUCAAAUGACAGGGAGGGUGGAGCAGUGUCACACAGAAUCGGCACAGCUAAACUCAAGAGAUGUGUGAAUCUACAGCCCAUGUCCGAACAUUUAGUGUGGGCUAAGCUGUCUGCACCUGAUGUCUCUGCAGUGGGCAGCACAGUGAUCAUUGAACCCACUGAGUCCAAAUGCAGACCUGCACAAAUUCUAGUGGGGAGAGUUGUCACUCCCUUAUGGGGUGAUGGCUGGGUUCCAGUCAAAAUAGUGAAUCCCACUAAAAAAAUACUCACCUUGAAGAGAAAUGCUAAAGUUGCAGAUGUGUCCACCUGUUCUUCUGUGCAGGACUUACCUGAACCUGUCAGCAUCCAAUCCAGCGUGCAGCACACACAGAGCUCAUCACCGGUGCCUCGGUCAGAGGAAGAGAUGUCACGUGUCUUGACCGACAUGGGCCUUCAGGAUCUGGAUCUCUCAUCUUGUGAAGUCUCCCCUGAGUGGAAAGAUAAACUGUUGGAGAUCAUCGUGCAGUUUGAAUCAAUUUUUUCAAAACACAAAAUGGACUGUGGUGAGGCACCAGAUUUUGUCCACAGAAUCCGCCUGGUGGAUGACAAACCCUUCAGACUUCCGCACAGGCGGGUCCCGCCAUGCCAUUAUGAUGAGCUCAGGACUGCUCUAAAUGAAAUGGAGGAAUUGGGGAUAAUCAGGAAGUCCCAGAGUGAAUAUUCAUCCCCCCUUGUCCUGGUUGUCAAGCCGAAUGGUGACCUCCGCAUCUGUAAUGAUUUCAGGUGGUUAAACGCAAGAACAGUGAAAGAUGCGCAUCCAUUACCUCAUCAGACAGACGUUCUCGCUGCACUCGGUGGUAAUGUGUUUUUUUCCACAAUGGACUUGACCUCUGGGUUUUAUAAUGUUAGACUUCAUGAAAAUGACAAGAAAUACACAGCAUUCUCUUCCCCAUUCGGUCUCCAUGAAUAUAACAGGAUGCCUCAAGGCCUGACCAACAGCCCUGCCACAUUCAUGCGAAUGAUGAUGUCAAUUUUUGGAGAUGAGAACUUCACAAGUCUAUUAGGUUACCUGGAUGAUCUUAUGGUUUUUGCUCCGUCUGAAUGUGUUGCUCUUCAGCGUUUGCAGAUGGUUUUCUCACGCCUCGCAGCGAACAACUUGAAGCUCUGA